This 615-nucleotide ribosomal RNA is filed under the name uncultured fungus. RNAcentral's name for it is "eukaryotic LSU rRNA". It matches the Rfam family "Eukaryotic large subunit ribosomal RNA", at positions 24 to 664 of the family's 3401-position model. The record is from RNAcentral. Lineage: Eukaryota; Fungi.
CCCGCUGAACUUAAGCAUAUCAAUAAGCGGAGGAAAAGAAACCAACAGGGAUUGCCCUAGUAACGGCGAGUGAAGCGGCAACAGCUCAAAUUUGAAAUCUGGCCCUCGGGUCCGAGUUGUAAUUUGUAGAGGAUGCUUUUGGUGCGGUGCCUUCCGAGUUCCCUGGAACGGGACGCCAUAGAGGGUGAGAGCCCCGUCUGGUUGGACACCAAUCCUCUGUAAAGCUCCUUCGACGAGUCGAGUAGUUUGGGAAUGCUGCUCUAAAUGGGAGGUAUAUGUCUUCUAAAGCUAAAUAUUGGCCAGAGACCGAUAGCGCACAAGUAGAGUGAUCGAAAGAUGAAAAGCACUUUGAAAAGAGAGUUAAACAGUACGUGAAAUUGUUGAAAGGGAAGCGCUUAUGACCAGACUUGGGCUUGGUAGAUCAACCUGGGUUCUCCCUGGUGCACUCUUCCUCGUCCAGGCCAGCAUCAGUUCGCUGCGGGGGAUAAAGGCUUCGGGAAUGUGGCUCCCUCGGGAGUGUUAUAGCCCGUUGCGUAAUACCCUGCGGUGGACUGAGGUUCGCGUUCUGCAAGGAUGCUGGCGUAAUGGUCAUCAGCGACCCGUCUUGAAACACGG